This 460-nucleotide ribosomal RNA is filed under the name uncultured bacterium. RNAcentral's name for it is "partial 16S ribosomal RNA". It matches the Rfam family "Bacterial small subunit ribosomal RNA", at positions 338 to 795 of the family's 1533-position model. The record is from RNAcentral.
CCUACGGGAGGCAGCAGUGAGGAAUAUUGGUCAAUGGGCGUAAGCCUGAACCAGCCAAGUCGCGUGAGGGAUGAAGGUUCUAUGGAUCGUAAACCUCUUUUAUAAGGGAAUAAAGUGUGGGACGUGUCCUGUUUUGUAUGUACCUUAUGAAUAAGGAUCGGCUAACUCCGUGCCAGCACCCGCGGUAAUACGGAGGAUCCGAGCGUUCUCCGGAUUUAUUGGGUUUAAAGGGUGCGUAGGCGGCCUUUUAAUUUAGCGGUGAAAGUCUGUGGCGCAACCAUAGAAUUGCCGUUGAAACUGGGAGGCUUGAGUAUGUUUGAGGCAGGCGGAAGGCGUGGUGUAGCGGUGAAAUGCGUAGAUAUCACGCAGAACCCCGAUUGCGAAGGCAGCCUGCCAAGCCAUGACUGACGCUGAUGCACGAAAGCGUGGGGAUCAAACAGGAUUAGAUACCCCAGUAGUC